GACGACCGCUGGCGGCGUGCUUAACACAUGCAAGUCGAACGGAAAGGCCCUGCUUUUGUGGGGUGCUCGAGUGGCGAACGGGUGAGUAACACGUGAGUAACCUGCCCUUGACUUUGGGAUAACUUCAGGAAACUGGGGCUAAUACCGGAUAGGAGCUCCUGCUGCAUGGUGGGGGUUGGAAAGUUUCGGCGGUUGGGGAUGGACUCGCGGCUUAUCAGCUUGUUGGUGGGGUAGUGGCUUACCAAGGCUUUGACGGGUAGCCGGCCUGAGAGGGUGACCGGCCACAUUGGGCCUGAGACACGGCCCAGACUCCUACGGGAGGCAGCAGUGGGGAAUAUUGCACAGUGAGCGGAAGCCUGAUGCAGCAACGCCGCGUGCGGGAUGACGGCCUUCGGGUUGUAAACCGCUUUCGCCUGUGACGAAGCGUGAGUGACGGUAAUGGGUAAAGAAGCACCGGCUAACUACGUG
RNAcentral lists this ribosomal RNA (468 nucleotides) under uncultured bacterium. RNAcentral describes it as "partial 16S ribosomal RNA". It matches the Rfam family "Bacterial small subunit ribosomal RNA", at positions 28 to 507 of the family's 1533-position model. The record is from RNAcentral.